Molecule: transfer RNA, 100 nt
Filed under: Orchesella cincta
Lineage: Eukaryota; Metazoa; Arthropoda; Collembola; Entomobryomorpha; Orchesellidae
Rfam family: tRNA
About the family: Transfer RNA (tRNA) molecules are approximately 80 nucleotides in length. Their secondary structure includes four short double-helical elements and three loops (D, anti-codon, and T loops).
Source: Rfam by way of RNAcentral
GGCUCGAUGGUCUAGUGGUAUGAUUCUCGCUUCGGGCGAAAGUCCUCUGCAUUGCACUUGAAUAUGUGAGAGGUCCCGGGUUCAAAUCCCGGUCGAGUCC